UACGGGGGGAGCAAGCGUUGUUCGGAUUUACUGGGCGUAAAGAGCGCGCAGGCGGUCGUCCAAGUCGCGUGUGAAAGCCCCCGGCUCAACUGGGGAGGGUCACGCGAUACUGAUCGACUCGAAGGCAGGAGAGGGUAGUGGAAUUCCCGGUGUAGUGGUGAAAUGCGUAGAUAUCGGGAGGAACACCAGUGGCGAAGGCGACUACCUGGCCUGUUCUUGACGCUGAGGCGCGAAAGCUAGGGGAGCAAACGGG
RNAcentral lists this ribosomal RNA (253 nucleotides) under uncultured bacterium. Its description in RNAcentral is "partial 16S ribosomal RNA". It matches the Rfam family "Bacterial small subunit ribosomal RNA", at positions 524 to 776 of the family's 1533-position model. The record is from RNAcentral.